AGUGCCCAGAGGAACUGAGUUAAAGAACGGAGCUCUGCAGAGUUAAAACAAAGCCUUAAAGCCACGUGAUGAUACGAGUCCCGUAUCCUUGUGUUAUCCAAGAUAAAUUUUGUGGAAUUAUAAAUAUCUCAGUGGAGGCUCUUCAUGAUGUCAUGACAGAAGACCCUGAAACAAGAACUUACAAAGAUUGUAUGUUGAUGUCUCAACACGAGGAACCGAAAGUAACAGAAGAUGAAGAGCCACCCACAGAACAAGACAAGAGGAAAAAGAUGCUGGCCCUGAAGGACCCGGUGCACACAGUGUCUCUGCAGCAGUUCAUCUAUGAGAAGCUCAAGGCGCAGCAGGAGAUCCUGGGGGAGCAAGGCUUCCAGUCCCUCAUGGAAACGGUGGACACAGAGAUUGUCACCCAGCUGCAGGAGUUUUUGCAAGGAUUCUAAGAGCACGUGUCAUGUGGCCACCAUCCCUUCUGAAAGAAGCUGAGUAACCCAGCCUGCCAUCCAUUUAUGAGCCUGCUGAGAUAAGAUCAUUUGUGUAUGAAUAUAAAGAAACCAAGACCAUAAAUUUUUUACUAUAAAAUAUAAAGAAUAAGUAUAAAUCCCAAAUAUUAAAGUCAGAAAACUAUUCCUCAAAAGAAUUUAAUUUUAUAUUUAUGAGGGGCCCUGUGCUGACUAGAGGUGCAUUUAUUGAGAGUAGCUGCAUUGUCUCUUGUUAAGAAACUCGCUGAUUAUCUUUGAAUCAUGAGCUCUUAACACUUGAGAAGAUGAAGGUUGAUGUUCCAGAUGUUUUUCUGCAACCCAAAAUUAAUUAAAUGUGGUUGCCUUAUCCUAAUUUUUUUUAAGCUAAUGAAACAAGUUUGAGAAAUGAGAAUGCUGUGCAAAUGAUAGAAUUCCAUUUGUGCAUAGCAACAUCCCAACAGCUGCCCUCUACCUGGGUAUCUCACAAGGGAGCUGUUUGCAUUCGACAGAGAAUCAAAUGCUUUUAUUUUCAUUCUAGUAGUCUGAUAGAGGAAUCAGUAAAGGCACUUUUAACUUUACUCUGAGUGCAUACAUUGCAAGGCACACUGAAGUGAACCUGCAGUACUGUAGUGCCAAGCGGGAGAGCCCUGGUGAGCCUCCAGCCCUGGCUCCUUUGCUACAUGUGAAGGCCAGUAGCCCUGGGAGCACCAGGAAGAACCAGAUAACUCCAAGUCCCCUUCCACUGUGACAGUCGUGCUUGGCUGUGACAGGCUACCCAGUAUUUACCCAUCUCAGGUUCCUCAGUACCAGGGUGUGUCAGCACCUCAGUGCCAUGGGUGCACCUCAGAGGACCCAGCAGCAGUCCCUGGGUACUAGCACUGACAUAACUAGUCUUCCUUCCUGUCCCUCCAUUGCACUAAGCGUGCGAGGGAGAGAACUGACGCCUUACUCUGCAUUACUUGCCAUUGUGAGGAACCUUUAGUGCAUCAUCUCCUAGGAAAUACUGAAAAGCAAGAUUGGAAAUGUCGUAUCUUUCUAUAGAGAUUUGGGUACAGUGUAUAACUGUAGGAAAACCACUACCCCUUUGUAAGCUAUGGAACCCAUAGUGUCUACGGAUAUAUGAUGUUUUCAGCAAAGAAAAUAUGGUCCAAUUAAAUUUUCCAAAGAUACCUCA
Molecule: long non-coding RNA, 1629 nt
Filed under: Mus musculus (house mouse)
Lineage: Eukaryota; Metazoa; Chordata; Mammalia; Rodentia; Muridae
Description: predicted gene, 53250 (Gm53250)
Source: RNAcentral